GAUAAAGAGAGGAAUUGAACCAAUGUAUACAGGACUACAGCCUGCCGCCUAACAUUCGGCCACUUUACC
This 69-nucleotide transfer RNA is filed under the name Anolis kemptoni. RNAcentral's name for it is "tRNA-Tyr". Lineage: Eukaryota; Metazoa; Chordata; Lepidosauria; Squamata; Anolidae. The record is from RNAcentral.